RNAcentral lists this ribosomal RNA (262 nucleotides) under uncultured bacterium. RNAcentral describes it as "partial 16S ribosomal RNA". It matches the Rfam family "Bacterial small subunit ribosomal RNA", at positions 524 to 785 of the family's 1533-position model. The record is from RNAcentral.
UACGUAGGGUGCGAGCGUUGUCCGGAAUUAUUGGGCGUAAAGAGCUUGUAGGCGGUUUGUCGCGUCUGCUGUGAAAAUCCGGGGCUCAACCCCGGACUUGCAGUGGGUACGGGCAGACUAGAGUGUGGUAGGGGAGACUGGAAUUCCUGGUGUAGCGGUGAAAUGCGCAGAUAUCAGGAGGAACACCGAUGGCGAAGGCAGGUCUCUGGGCCACUACUGACGCUGAGGAGCGAAAGCGUGGGGAGCGAACAGGAUUAGAUAC